CACGUAGGGUGCGAGCGUUGUCCGGAAUUAUUGGGCGUAAAGGGCGCGUAGGCGGCGCGGUAAGUCACUUGUGAAAUCUCUGAGCUUAACUCAGAACGGCCAAGUGAUACUGCAGUGCUAGAGUGUGGAAGGGGCAAUCGGAAUUCUUGGUGUAGCGGUGAAAUGCGUAGAUAUCAAGAGGAACACCUGAGGUGAAGACGGGUUGCUGGGCCAACACUGACGCUGAGGCGCGAAAGCCAGGGGAGCAAACGGG
This 253-nucleotide ribosomal RNA is filed under the name uncultured bacterium. RNAcentral's name for it is "partial 16S ribosomal RNA". It matches the Rfam family "Bacterial small subunit ribosomal RNA", at positions 524 to 776 of the family's 1533-position model. The record is from RNAcentral.